RNAcentral lists this ribosomal RNA (505 nucleotides) under uncultured Actinomycetes bacterium. Its description in RNAcentral is "bacterial SSU rRNA". It matches the Rfam family "Bacterial small subunit ribosomal RNA", at positions 358 to 872 of the family's 1533-position model. Lineage: Bacteria; Bacillati; Actinomycetota; Actinomycetes. The record is from RNAcentral.
GGAAUAUUGCACAAUGGGCGCAAGCCUGAUGCAGCGACGCCGCGUGAGGGAUGAAGGCUUUCGGGUCGUAAACCUCUUUCAGUGGGGAAGAAGCGCAAGUGACGGUACCCACACAAGAAGGCCCGGCCAACUACGUGCCAGCAGCCGCGGUAAUACGUAGGGGCCAAGCGUUAUCCGGAUUUAUUGGGCGUAAAGAGCUCGUAGGCGGUUUGGUAAGUCGGUCGUGAAAGUCCGAGGCUCAACCUCGGAAUGCCGGUCGAUACUGCCAUGACUAGGGUUCGGUAGAGGAGAGUGGAAUUCUCGGUGUAGCGGUGAAAUGCGCAGAUAUCGAGAGGAACACCAGUAGCGAAGGCGGCUCUCUGGGCCGAUACCGACGCUGAGGAGCGAAAGCGUGGGGAGCAAACAGGAUUAGAUACCCUGGUAGUCCACGCCGUAAACGUUGAUCACUAGAUGUGGCGGACUYWUUGACGUCUGCYGUGUCGAAGUAACGCAUUAAGUGAUCCGC